RNAcentral lists this ribosomal RNA (510 nucleotides) under uncultured bacterium. RNAcentral describes it as "bacterial SSU rRNA". It matches the Rfam family "Bacterial small subunit ribosomal RNA", at positions 28 to 521 of the family's 1533-position model. The record is from RNAcentral.
GAUGAACGCUAGCUACAGGCUUAACACAUGCAAGUCGAGGGGAAACGACAUCGAAAGCUUGCUUUUGGUGGGUGUCGACCGGCGCACGGGUGAGUAACGCGUAUCCAACCUGCCCACCACUUGGGGAUAACCUUGCGAAAGUAAGACUAAUACCCAAUGAUAUCCCACGAAGGCAUCCGAAUGGGAUUAAAGAUUUAUCGGUGAUGGAUGGGGAUGCGUCUGAUUAGCUUGUUGGCGGGGUAACGGCCCACCAAGGCAACGAUCAGUAGGGGUUCUGAGAGGAAGGUCCCCCCACAUUGGAACUGAGACACGGUCCAAACUCCUACGGGAGGCAGCAGUGAGGAAUAUUGGUCAAUGGACGGGAGUCUGAACCAGCCAAGUAGCGUGCAGGAUGACGGCCCUAUGGGUUGUAAACUGCUUUUANGUGGGAAUAAAGUCAGGGACGUGUCCCUGUUUGCAUGUACCACAGGAAUAAGGGACCCGGCUAAAUUCCGUGCUAGCAGCCGCGGU